UGCCAGCUGAGUUUUAGAUGCUCGGUAA
Molecule: non-coding RNA, 28 nt
Filed under: Mus musculus (house mouse)
Lineage: Eukaryota; Metazoa; Chordata; Mammalia; Rodentia; Muridae
Source: RNAcentral